UUUAUGUGUAAUCUCCAAAAUAUGGUUGGGGAGCCUCCACCAGUGAACCGUAAAAUCGCUGUCACCACGUUCA
This 73-nucleotide non-coding RNA is filed under the name unclassified sequences. The record is from Rfam.